This 1368-nucleotide long non-coding RNA is filed under the name Bos taurus (domestic cattle). RNAcentral describes it as "long non-coding RNA NONBTAT025438". The record is from RNAcentral. Lineage: Eukaryota; Metazoa; Chordata; Mammalia; Artiodactyla; Bovidae.
UGGAGUUGCUAAUGGGUUGGGCAGGAGGUCUGUGAAAUAGUUCCCCUUUGACCUCUCCCCACCCACGUCAACACAAAUGUAAUUCCUAGGAAAAGAUGCACGACCGGUCUCCUAGCCCUGUGAGCUAUUCAUUGCUACGUGGCAGAUUAUAGUAGAAACAUUUUUAUACUUGCAUUUUUCGUCUUUAUUAGAAGCCUUUGGAUGUAUUUUUACAGUUGAAAGAUUUAGAAAGAUUUUUACCUGCUUAUAACUUGGAAAUUUGGCGUGCAAUGUAUGGGAAAAGAUCGAGAAACAUCAUGUUAUUAGCAUUGGUCCAUCUACAAAUAAAUACAAAGGUGUUUCUAUUGCCGAUAUAUAUUUUUUUUGGCCCAGUUUUAUUUUGCACCAAUGUGGCCCCAAGUUACUGCUAGUUGUAUGUAGUUUGUGAAUAGGAGCCCAUAAGUGUUAAUAGACUUUGUAACUUUCACUGUAAGAUGAGUUAUACAGGACAUGGAAAAUCUCAUUAAGUCUUAAAGAUAAUUUAAAUUAAUUUAUCUGUUUUCUCUAAGAAAUGUUUAUCAUAAAAUAUAUAUGUGUAUUUCCCCUUUGGUUAUAAAAUUUGGGAAAGUGUGUACACGUGCAGCUGCACGGACUUUAAUUUUCUAGAUGUCUUAAUGAGAUUUAUUUGUUUUAGGGAAGAACAACUUGUUACAAGCAUCAAAUUCUGUCUUACAUCGCUGUCAGCAGCCUCUUGCAGAUGUGGUGGUUGUGUGAUCUGUGUCAUAGUUCAGUUAGAGUGAGAGGUUGACCUCUGAAUCAUUGUUAAAUUGUCUGUUUGGAGCAAAGCUGCAAAGUUAUGGUCAAGUACUGUACAGCGAGAAACUAUUGCAACGUUGAAUAUAUCUGUGGCUUCACAUGUGUGAGAGUUAACCAGCUUGAAAAUGAUGGUGUUGACUACCUCUUGAAUUACUUACAGCUACCAACCACUGGCACCCACCACCAGCUGGCUUUAAUUAGUAUGUAUUGCUUUUUUGGUAUUAACAACUUUAACCACAAUAGAGACCAAAGUGAACACUGAUUUCUAUAUGACUUUAAUAUGGUGUUUUAUCUAGUGUUUUACAAUUAUCCUGUGUAGUCUUUAGAUGACCUCAUUGUCCAUUUUGGCUCAUGUUGUUUACAAGUGAAAAUAAAAAACACUUGAACUGUAUGUUUUUAAAGGACAAAAAAGGAAUAGAUGGUCGGAAUGGCGUUUCACUUGUGUACAGUCAUCUCAAUGGACUACAAGUACUGUUUGCCUUUCUGCAGACCGUGGAUUUUAUAUUAUCAUCUCAUGGCUAGUGUCUUAUUCUGUCAAUUAUGGAUAUUUUGAGGUUUAAAGAAAUUACUUGA